Molecule: ribosomal RNA, 492 nt
Filed under: uncultured bacterium
Lineage: Bacteria
Description: partial 16S ribosomal RNA
Rfam family: Bacterial small subunit ribosomal RNA
Source: RNAcentral
AGUGAACGCUGGCGGUAGGCCUAACACAUGCAAGUCGAACGGCAGCACAGUAAGAGCUUGCUCUUACGGGUGGCGAGUGGCGGACGGGUGAGGAAUACAUCGGAAUCUACUUUUUCGUGGGGGAUAACGUAGGGAAACUUACGCUAAUACCGCAUACGACCUACGGGUGAAAGCAGGGGAUCUUCGGACCUUGCGCGAUCGAAUGAGCCGAUGUCGGAUUAGCUAGUUGGCGGGGUAAAGGCCCACCAAGGCGACGAUCCGUAGCUGGUCUGAGAGGAUGAUCAGCCACACUGGAACUGAGACACGGUCCAGACUCCUACGGGAGGCAGCAGUGGGGAAUAUUGGACAAUGGGCGUAAGCCUGAUCCAGCCAUACCGCGUGGGUGAAGAAGGCCUUCGGGUUGUAAAGCCCUUUUGUUGGGAAAGAAAAGCAGCAGGUUAAUACCCCGCUGUUCUGACGGUACCCAAAGAAUAAGCACCGGCUAACUUCGUG